ACACAAUCGUUAUGUGCUAAGAUAGAUUUGACAAGCUUUUCUCCGUUCCAAAUCUUGAUCAAUUUAUCGGCUGAACCUGUUAUAAAGAUAUCCUCACCAAGGGCAAGAACAGCCCAAACUGAGGAUUGGUGCCCUUUAAGUACAUAUUUACAUUGGCCUAAAGCCCAUACUCUAGCCGUACUAUCCCAGCUUCCAGUAAUAAUUGUUUCGCUAUUUAAUGCAGAUGCAGAACAGAUGUUGGACUCAUGUCCAAACAAAUAAUAAGAGGGUGAAUUAGUGCCUACUUCUUGAAGAAUACCACAUUUGUCUUGUCCGCCUGAAAAUAUGUAACCUUUGUCAAAGUUAAUAAAUAAAUAAAAUCAAUAUCAGUAAUUACCCCUAGAGUUUUUAUCGAUCGCCGGCACAUAACAAACACAAUUGACAAACCCUUCAUGAUUUUCGUAAAAAUGGGGCGUCCAUUCUCCAUUGAUUUGCUCCCAGACACUAUAAGUUCCAUCUCGAGAGGCAGAUCCUAUCAAUUCAUUGGAAAUACUGCAAACACCGCGAACCUAAUAUAUAUUUGUUAUUGAACAUGUUCAUGAUUAUGGUAUUAACAAAUAACCCUUUCUUCAUACAUCUUGUUUAUGGCCACCUAGCUCUCGUGAAAGUUCAUAAGAGGUCAUUUUCAGUCUAUUAAGGAUGAUUAUGAGAAGCCAAUAUAAAGGUAUAUUUGCUUUUCGCAGAAGGAAGUUAAACAGGCUUUCACAGCUUAUACAUAGGAACAACUUGAUAUCAUUGACAUCGUUAGAAUCCCUUAAAAGAUUACUUCUAGCUGUAGUUCGAGCACAUUAGAAUACCAUGGAAAAUACAAUAGUUUGAGGACUCAAAUUAUAAUUUGCAAAUAUUAAAAAUACACAUAUAUUUAUUUAUAAGGUGGUUUUGGUAGAAUUUUCACAACACUUAAUUAUUAGUCUUACCAAUUGGGAAGAAGCACAUUUAACUGGUUUGCUGCAGCAAAUUAAUAUAUCGAUUUAUCCUGACUAGUUGCUUAAACUAGCAAAAAAACUGCAAA
Molecule: non-coding RNA, 1051 nt
Organism: Schizosaccharomyces pombe (fission yeast)
Lineage: Eukaryota; Fungi; Ascomycota; Schizosaccharomycetes; Schizosaccharomycetales; Schizosaccharomycetaceae
Source: the annotation of a GenBank genome assembly